Non-coding RNA from Schistosoma mattheei, 46 nucleotides. NCBI's taxonomy places the organism in Eukaryota, Metazoa, Platyhelminthes, Trematoda, Strigeidida, Schistosomatidae. The record is from Rfam.
GCACUGCUGAGGAGUCUCGCAAUAAGACGAAACGGCCGUCCAGUGC